RNAcentral lists this ribosomal RNA (253 nucleotides) under uncultured bacterium. Its description in RNAcentral is "partial 16S ribosomal RNA". It matches the Rfam family "Bacterial small subunit ribosomal RNA", at positions 524 to 776 of the family's 1533-position model. The record is from RNAcentral.
UACGUAGGCAGCAAGCGUUGUUCGGAAUUACUGGGCGUAAAGCGUGCGUAGGCGGUUGGCCAAGUUUGGUGUGAAAUCUCCCGGCUCAACUGGGAGGGUGCGCCGAAAACUGGCCGGCUAGAGUGCGGGAGAGGGAAGUGGAAUUCCUGGUGUAGCGGUGAAAUGCGUAGAUAUCAGGAGGAACACCUGUGGUGUAGACGGCUUCCUGGACAGUGACUGACGCUGAGGCACGAAAGCGUGGGGAGCAAACAGG